This 225-nucleotide ribozyme is filed under the name Thalassiosira antarctica. RNAcentral's name for it is "partial Bacterial RNase P class A". It matches the Rfam family "Bacterial RNase P class A", at positions 152 to 348 of the family's 367-position model. Rfam says of the family: Ribonuclease P (RNase P) is a ubiquitous endoribonuclease, found in archaea, bacteria and eukarya as well as chloroplasts and mitochondria. Its best characterised activity is the generation of mature 5'-ends of tRNAs by cleaving the 5'-leader elements of precursor-tRNAs. Lineage: Eukaryota; Bacillariophyta; Thalassiosirophyceae; Thalassiosirales; Thalassiosiraceae. The record is from RNAcentral.
GGGUGAAAGGGUGGGGUAAGAGCCCACCGCGCGACCGGCAACGGAAGCGGCACGGUAAACCCCACCGGGAGCAAAACCGAAUAGGGAUGACGCAGGGCGAAAGCCCGGCCCUUUUUCCGGGGUUGAUCAUCCGGGUAGGUUGCUUGAGGUGCGCAGCAAUGCGUGUCCCAGAGGAAUGGCUGCCACGUUUUGAUCCGCAAGGGUCAAGGCCAUACAGAACCCGGC